UGGGGAAUAUUGCACAAUGGGCGCAAGCCUGAUGCAGCAACGCCGCGUGAACGAUGAAGGUCUUCGGAUCGUAAAGUUCUGUUGCAGGGGAAGAUAAUGACGGUACCCUGUGAGGAAGCCCCGGCUAACUACGUGCCAGCAGCCGCGGUAAUACGUAGGGGGCUAGCGUUGUCCGGAUUUAUUGGGCGUAAAGGGGGCGCAGGCUGCUUCUUAAGUCUGAUGUGAAAGCCCACGGCUUAACCGUGGAAGUGCAUUGGAAACUGGGAAGCUUGAGUACAGAAGAGGAAAGUGGAACUCCAUGUGUAGCGGUGGAAUGCGUAGAUAUAUGGAAGAACACCAGUGGCGAAAGCGACUUUCUGGUCUGUCACUGACGCUGAGGCCCGAAAGCGUGGGUAGCAAACAGG
Molecule: ribosomal RNA, 404 nt
Filed under: Verrucomicrobiota bacterium
Lineage: Bacteria; Pseudomonadati; Verrucomicrobiota
Description: Verrucomicrobia bacterium partial 16S ribosomal RNA
Rfam family: Bacterial small subunit ribosomal RNA
Source: RNAcentral